GAUGAACGCUGGCGGCGUGCCUAAUACAUGCAAGUCGAGCGAACGGACGAGAAGCUUGCUUCUCUGAUUUUAGCGGCGGACGGGUGAGUAACACGUGUAUAACCUACCUAUAAGACUGGGAUAACUUCGGGAAACCGUAGCUAAUACCGGAUAAUAUUUUGAACCGCAUGGUUCAAAAGUGAAAGACGGUCUUGCUGUCACUGAUAGCUGGAUCCGCGCUGCAUUAGCUAGUUGGUAAGGUAACGGCUUACCAAGGCAACGAUGCAUAGCCGACCUGAGAGGGUGAUCGGCCACACUGGAACUGAGACACGGUCCAGACUCCUAAGGGAGGCAGCAGUAGGGAAUCUUCGGCAAUGGGCGAAAGCCUGGCGGAGCAACGCCGCGUGAGAGAUGAAGGUCUUCGGAUCGUAAAACUCUGUUAUUAGGGAAGAACAUAUGUGUAAGUAACUGUGCACAUCUUGACGGUACCUAAUAAGAAAGCCACGGCUAACUACGUG
Molecule: ribosomal RNA, 497 nt
Filed under: uncultured bacterium
Lineage: Bacteria
Description: partial 16S ribosomal RNA
Rfam family: Bacterial small subunit ribosomal RNA
Source: RNAcentral